CUGCAAGGAAAAGUUAACGCACGAGCUUCCCAGAAGGAAGCCCCAUCCUCCCAUUCCUAGGGAGCCUGCGGAUGCCUUGGAAGGCGGAAUUCGGAGACCACACGGGAAGAGCGCAGACCGCGGGCAUCUCCGCAGCCACCCCCAGGGCGCGCCACCUCCCCAGGCAGCACAUCCCGGGACAGCCGGGCGCACCGACACCGCAAGGUCACCAGGGAAAAGGCGACUUUACAUAAUCUCACACCGGGCCGCCCGGGCACCUGCGCGCCGAGGCGAAGCUGCCCCGGGGCCCCCUCCCUGUCGCGCCCGCGCUGGGCGAUACGGGGGCGACACUCGGAGCGACUAGGCUGGACGCCUGGGACCCGUGGAUGCCCGCAGCGCCGCCCUGAGCCGGGGGUGCGGGACGCAAGGCGGGCUCCCAACCCCGGGAUGCCCGGGCCGCCGCCGCGGCGGUCUGGGCGAGCAAUGCGGGGAGCGGCCGGGCCCGGCUCGCUGCUGGCCGUAAUCCCCACGCUCCCUGCCCGCUGCCGGCGUCCAGCGCGCCCUCCGCUCCCGGGACCGCCCCGCGGCGCACCUGUCACGCGCCUUACCUGAGUGGCUUUGUGGAACUGCUUCUUGAGCCCGGCCACCGACAUGGCGCAGGAGGACCCGCGGGACUGCUGCGGUGCGGGGAGCGGGCGGCGGCGGAGCCAGGAGGGAGGACCGAGCGGUGCGGCGCGCUGGCCGAGCCGCAGCUCGUCGUGCAGCCGCCGGGGCAGUGGGCGCGGGGGCGCGGAGAGGCGCGGGACGCGGGCUCGUGCGGAGAGACACCCUGACGUCAGGGGCGAGCGAUACGCACUCUUAAAGGGGACGCGAGAAGCCCCGCCCCGGGCGCGGGGUUGGUGCGGCAGGUGCCGGGCCACGCGCUACCUGGGUACCGGCACCUGGCGCCGCCGCACCCGUGGGUCGGCUGCCUGCUUAAGAGGACCAAGGGGGUCCUCCCGCCCCGGGAGUGUCCUCCUGCCCCCGCAGACUGCGGCCCGGUGGCUGCAGGUUGGCAGCCCAGGCACCGGCACGACUCAGGUGACUUGCUCGGCUUCCAGGUAGCCUCAGAGGCGCUGCCUAAACCAGCCCGCCUGCCCUUUGAGCCUGGCCUCUUUGCAGCCUGGAAAGGAGGAGUGGCAUUCUCUCUCGGGACUGAGAAGCACAUAGAGAAAAACUUUUGGUCCCCAUGUGGGGACCAAAAGUUAUAAGGAGAAGAAGCCAGAGUGACAGAAGCCAAGAUGAGAGACAUUGCCAAGAAUGAGGAAGGAGACAGCAUGGCAGAGUGGGAGUACUAGGAAUGCCUUGCAUCACCUCUACAAACCCUGCUGCCUGGGAGGAACCACAGGCCCCACUCCCACCCUGCCAGCCAGGCUGCUUGAGCACAGGGUGAACAGCGGAUACAAGGGAAUCCUGUCCACCUGCUGAUCUACCAAUCGUAGUUCUUGAUAAUGUGAGUUGAAACUCAUAACGGCAGAACCAAGCAGAUAGUGGUCGAGCAACAAGAGCACAUGGACUCCUGACUGAGGCUGCAAAGGGAAGCAGACAAAAGGGGCAAAUCUCCAGUGUGCUAGUCGUUACUGAUGUUCAGGUACCUUCCACAUACAUGGUAGAGUUGCACCUGCCAAACCCCUCGUGGUUAAGUGGAGCACUGUGACAAGUUUUAACCAGUGGGUUAGGAAGCUAAGUGACUGUCACCUCUUGGCAGAGAAUUUAACUGUUGGAAUGAGAUGCUACGAAGCCCUUUCCCCUCUCCAGCAGUAUUUUAGGUCGCUGUCGUCUGUCAAACAGAAUCCAGAGUGAGGAUGAAGCAGGGUAAAGUCCCCAGUUAAUGUUGAAAGACAUUUAGCAUUUGUGAGAAAUAAACCUGAGUCAUUUUAA
Non-coding RNA from Globicephala melas (long-finned pilot whale), 1899 nucleotides. Lineage: Eukaryota; Metazoa; Chordata; Mammalia; Artiodactyla; Delphinidae. The record is from RefSeq and is a predicted model, not a curated record.